GGUACAAAAAUCUGAAUUGUGAACCAAGAUUUUUAUUGCCUGAUUUUGAUGCUCUGGAAGCCAUAGUUCAGAUUUCAAGUACAAAAAUGAUAUGUUCCCUCUUAUUAGAUGAAAUGUCAAUAGACAACAAAUUGAUGUUGAUGGUCAAAAGACAUGGGGCUAUGUAUGUGUUGGAGUUGGUGUAGAAAAUGAUGAGAUGCAAAUAGCAAGUGAAGCUCUUGUUCUUUUGUUAGUUUCACAUACAGGCCAUUGGAAGAUGCCAGUUGCAUAUGUCUUUGUUUCUUCUCUAACGUCUAAGAAAAAGGCUAAUAUAAUAAACGAAUCCCUAAUUCGCUCACAUGAUAUGGAAUUGAUAUAACGUCUGUUACCUGUGAUGGUCCAAGUGUUAAUUUCAGUAUGAUGAAAGAACUUGGUUGCAAUUUCGAUAAUGUUCAUGAGAUGAAGACAUGGUUUGAACAUCCAGUAGAUAAAACCAAGAAAUUUUAUAGUGUACUGGAUGCAUGCCACAUGCUAAAACUCAUGAGGAAUAGUUUUGCCAGUUUGCAGCAGUUCAAAGAUCCCAAUGGAGAAAUUACAAAUUAGAAAUAUGUAAAACAAUUACACGAAUUACAAGAGCAAGAGGGUGUACAUAUAGCCAAUAAGCUGAAACGUGCACAUAUCGAAUGGUUUAGGCAGAACAUGAAGGUUAAUUUAGCAGCCCAAACUUUGAGCAAUAGUGUUGCCGAUGCCAUUGAAAUUAUCUCUAGGACUAGAACAUUAAAAUUAAAAGAAUUUGAAGGCAGUGAAGGAACCGUUCAGUUAUCAGGAGAAUGGGCAGUUUAUUCGAUAUAUUGAAUUCAAGAAGCCCUCAUUGUAAAGGUUUUAAGGCACCCUUGAGGCUUUCUAAUGAACAUAUUUGGAGACCAUUUGUCAUAGAAACAAUAACUUAUUUGCUGAGGUGCACAGAUGUAUCAGGAAGACCACUGUUUCUAACUCCUAUAAGGAAACUCCAUUCAAUGGAUUUUUUUUUUAUUUUUGAUGACCUUGGUAUCGAUGUGUAUUAGUGAUUAGAGGUUUCUUUUCGGUCGAAAUUUCAGAGACUCAAUUAGACAAAAUGAAAAAAAGAAAUAAAAUCUGUUAACAAAAGAAGCGACAUUGAUAACUUGAAUACGGCCUAUUUUGAUCUCAUACAGAUAAUACAAGAUUUAUAACAUCCACAGAUUUGUAUUGUACGUGUUCGCUUGAGUUUACCUACAUAUUAUUUCGUUUUUUCUUAUUUGAUAAUUAUCAGAUGAUUAACACUGAAUGUCAUCCGUCCAGUUCAUGUUCCUUUGAUGUAUUUUAUUUCGUACAAGUUAGUCAACCGUAUAUAAUGUCUUUUAUUAUUUCAUCCUCGUUGUUUUUAAUUUUCGAAUUCAAAAUAGAGACCAACUGGCAAUAGCUCUGAAGAUGAUUCAAAAUAAAAUCGAAACGUCGGCAUUUUGUCUAAUUGAGUCUCUGAAAUUUCGACCGAAAAGAAACCUCUAAUCACUAAUACACAUUGGAUUUUGUGUUACUGCCUUAUCAGUGUGUGGAACAUUUGAUGACUUUGUUAUGUCUGGCAAAUUCAGUUAUUUUUCAACAUAUAAGGUUUCCCAAGAUCAUUUGGAAACUCUCUUUUGUUCUAUAAUAGUCGUAAUUGCUGGAACAAUAAUUCAAGUUGUUACAAUUUAUGAGAACUUUAAGAAGACUUCUUGUACAUACUAAAAAGUAAGUCAAGAUGGAGGAAAUUGUAAAGUCUUGGAUACUACAACGAUUUUGUCAGUUCCAAGCACAAGUGGUAACUGAUGUAGGGUGGAAGUAGAUGUUUCUAAUUAUAGGAGAUAUAACUUUGACCCAUCCGACUCUCCAUCAGAUCAUGACUUUGAUUUAUUCAAUCAAUUCAUUGAUCUGAAUACACUAAAAUCUAAUGUAGUUACUUAUAUAAGUGGGAAACUGAAUCUGCAACUGAUGUUGUUAGUGGAGAAUCAUAUUCUUUAUUAUCCUUCAAAAAUAAAGGGGACUUCAUGUACCAUCAUAUGGAGUUGUAAAGAUGAUAUGCCAAAAUGUAGAGAUGGCAAUCAGGAAUUUGAUGGUUUCAACAGAAAAUACAAUUGCAAGAGAUGAAAAUUUCCUCGAAGUAUUUGCGACAAUUCAGUCUCAAAAAUUUUAUGAUAAAGUUGAUGAUUUGUUCCCCUCCUUGAAAGAAUAUUUUUUAGAUUCUUCAGUGAUUGGUGGACAUCAUGGCUUUCUUCUAGUGAAAAAUAUUGCCAGAUCUUAUUCUAAAAUUAGAAUAUUCAAUAAUCUAUGUAAAAAGUUCACUGAAAGAAUUCAAGAUCCUGCAAUUAGAAGAAGACUUCAUCACUUGAUCUACUACAGUAAACAAUAAUGG
Long non-coding RNA from Coccinella septempunctata (seven-spotted ladybird), 2389 nucleotides. RefSeq lists it as uncharacterized. Lineage: Eukaryota; Metazoa; Arthropoda; Insecta; Coleoptera; Coccinellidae. The record is from RefSeq and is a predicted model, not a curated record. The transcript is spliced from 6 exons.